Molecule: ribosomal RNA, 586 nt
Filed under: uncultured bacterium
Lineage: Bacteria
Description: partial 16S ribosomal RNA
Rfam family: Bacterial small subunit ribosomal RNA
Source: RNAcentral
UGGGGAAUUUUGGACAAUGGGCGAAAGCCUAAUCCAGCAAUGCCGCGUGUGUGAAGAAGGCCUUCGGGUUGUAAAGCACUUUUGUCCGGAAAGAAAUCCUUGGCUCUAAUACAGUCGGGGGAUGACGGUACCGGAAGAAUAAGCACCGGCUAACUACGUGCCAGCAGCCGCGGUAAUACGUAGGGUGCAAGCGUUAAUCGGAAUUACUGGGCGUAAAGCGUGCGCAGGCGGUUUGCUAAGACCGAUGUGAAAUCCCCGGGCUCAACCUGGGAACUGCAUUGGUGACUGGCAGGCUAGAGUAUGGCAGAGGGGGGUAGAAUUCCACGUGUAGCAGUGAAAUGCGUAGAGAUGUGGAGGAAUACCGAUGGCGAAGGCAGCCCCCUGGGCCAAUACUGACGCUCAUGCACGAAAGCGUGGGGAGCAAACAGGAUUAGAUACCCUGGUAGUCCACGCCCUAAAACGAUGUCAACUAGUUGUUGGGGAUUCAUUUCCUUAGUAACGUAGCUAACGCGUGAAGUUGACCGCCUGGGGAGUACGGUCGCAAGAUUAAAACUUAAAUGAAUUGACGGGGUCAUAGCUGUUUCCU